UAGUUAAGUUGAUCAAACGAGGUGGGAUUUCUAUAACAGCCAGGAUGUUGGCUUGGAAGCAGCCAUUCAUUUAAAGAGUGCGUAACAGCUCACUGGUCGAGAGAUCCUGCACGGAAAAUAAUCGGGCAUCAAACUAUGAACCGAAGUUCUAGAUUCAAUAUUUAUUUAUUGAGUGGUAGGGGAGCAUUGAAAUCUGCAUCGAAGGUGUGGCGCGAGCCAUGCUGGAGCGAUUUCAAAAGAAAAUGUAGGUAUAAGUAACGAUAAAAGUAGUGAAAAACUACUUCGCCGAAAGUCUAAGGUUUCCUGAUCAACGUUAAUCGGAUCAGGGUUAGUCUGGUCCUUAGGAAAACCCGAAAGGGGCAUCUGAUGGAAAGCUAGUUAAUAUUCUAGCACCUACUAUGCAUUAAAAGUGACGCAGGGACGUGGUUGUUACGAACAGACGGAUGUUCGUUGAGUGGAACCUUCGGGGGAAGCGAAACAAUAAAAUCCCUGCCAAGAAAAGCGAGCAUAGCAGCCAGUACCGGAAUCCGACACAGGUAGACGGGAUGAGUAUUCUAAGGCGCUCGGGUGAGCCGCGGAGAAGGAACUAGGCAAAUUAACGCUGUAACUUCGGGAUAAAGCGUACCGCAGUGAUGCGGUCACAGUAAAUAGGUACAACCAACUGUUUAACAAAAACACAGGGCCCUGCAAAAACGUAAGUUGACGUAUAGAGCCUGAAACCUGCCCGGUGCUGGAAGGUUAAGGAAGGGUGUUCGGCGCAAGCCAAAGCUCCUGACUGAAGCCCCAGUAAACGGCGGCCGUAACUAUAACGGUCCUAAGGUAGCGAAAUUCCUUGUCGGGUAAGUUCCGACCUGCACGAAUGGUCUAAUGAGUUGUACACUGUCUCCUCCGCGAGCCCGGUGAAAUUGUAGUAUCGGUGAAGAUGCCGGUUACCCGCCACGGGACGGAAAGACCCCGUGAACCUUCACUACAACUUUGCAUUGAUUUUGAACAACCGAUGUGUAGGAUAGUUGGGAGACUUUGAAGUGGCAUCGCCAGGUGUCAUGGAGUCAUCGUUGAAAUACCAACCUUCGUUUGUUUAGAACCUAAUCCCUAACGGGAGACAGUGCAUGGUGGGUAGUUUGACUGGGGUGGUCGCCUCCUAAAAAGUAACGGAGGCUCGCAAAGGUACCCUCAGUACGGUUGGUAAUCGUACGUAGAGCGCAUUAGUAAAAGGGUGCUUGACUGUGAGACAAACAAGUCGAGCAGGAGCGAAAGCUGGCUAAAGUGAUCCGGUG
Molecule: ribosomal RNA, 1277 nt
Filed under: marine metagenome
Description: bacterial LSU rRNA
Rfam family: Bacterial large subunit ribosomal RNA
Source: RNAcentral